UAACGACUCUCGGCAACGGAUAUCUCGGCUCACGCAUCGAUGAAGAACGUAGCAAAAUGCGAUACUUGGUGUGAAUUGCAGAAUCCCGUGAACCAUCGAGUUUUUGAACGCAAGUUGCGCCCGAAGCCUUCUGGUUGAGGGCACGUCUGCCUGGGCGUCACGC
This 163-nucleotide ribosomal RNA is filed under the name Simsia benziorum. RNAcentral describes it as "5.8S ribosomal RNA". It matches the Rfam family "5.8S ribosomal RNA". From Rfam's summary of the family: 5.8S ribosomal RNA (5.8S rRNA) is a component of the large subunit of the eukaryotic ribosome. It is transcribed by RNA polymerase I as part of the 45S precursor that also contains 18S and 28S rRNA. Functionally, it is thought that 5.8S rRNA may be involved in ribosome translocation. Lineage: Eukaryota; Viridiplantae; Streptophyta; Magnoliopsida; Asterales; Asteraceae. The record is from RNAcentral.